RNAcentral lists this small nuclear RNA (19 nucleotides) under Arabidopsis thaliana (thale cress). Its description in RNAcentral is "snRNA_03517". Lineage: Eukaryota; Viridiplantae; Streptophyta; Magnoliopsida; Brassicales; Brassicaceae. The record is from RNAcentral.
CGGCUGGAAGAGCACCGCA